This 667-nucleotide ribosomal RNA is filed under the name Dermocybe semisanguinea. RNAcentral's name for it is "partial ribosomal RNA". The stretch from base 269 to 422 matches the Rfam family "5.8S ribosomal RNA". Lineage: Eukaryota; Fungi; Basidiomycota; Agaricomycetes; Agaricales; Cortinariaceae. The record is from RNAcentral.
UUUCCGUAGGUGAACCUGCGGAAGGAUCAUUAUUGAAAUAAACCUGAUGGGUUGCUGCUGGCUCUCUUGGGAGCAUGUGCACACUUGUCAUCUUUAUAUCUCCACCUGUGCACCUUUUGUAGAUCUGGAUAUCUUUCUGAAUGCCUGGCAUUCAGGUUUGAGGAUUGACUUUUGUCUUUCCUUACAUUUCCAGGCCUAUGUUUUCUUCAUAUACACCAUGUAUGUUAUAGAAUGUAAUGACAAGGCCUUUGUGCCUACAAACCUAUACAACUUUCAGCAACGGAUCUCUUGGCUCUCGCAUCGAUGAAGAACGCAGCGAAAUGCGAUAAGUAAUGUGAAUUGCAGAAUUCAGUGAAUCAUCGAAUCUUUGAACGCACCUUGCGCUCCUUGGUAUUCCGAGGAGCAUGCCUGUUUGAGUGUCAUUAAUAUAUCAACCUCCUCAGGUUUUUACUUGUUGAGUGUUUGGAUGUGGGGGUAUCUUUUGCUGGUCUCUUUUGAGGUCGGCUCCCCUGAAAUGCAUUAGCGGAACAAUUUGUUGACCGUUCAUUGGUGUGAUAACUAUCUACGCUAUUGACGUAAAGCAGGUUCAGCUUCUAACAGUCCAUUGACUUGGACAAAUUUUCAUUAAUGUGACCUCAAAUCAGGUAGGACUACCCGCUGAACUUAA